CAUAUACUCCCUGCGUUCCGAAUUACUUGUCGCAAGUAUGGAUGUAUCUAGAUGUAUUUUAGUUCUAGAUACAUCCGUUUCUGCGACGAGUAAUUUGGAACGGAGGGAGUAGGAU
Molecule: non-coding RNA, 115 nt
Organism: Triticum aestivum (bread wheat)
Lineage: Eukaryota; Viridiplantae; Streptophyta; Magnoliopsida; Poales; Poaceae
Source: Rfam